This 253-nucleotide ribosomal RNA is filed under the name uncultured prokaryote. RNAcentral describes it as "partial 16S ribosomal RNA". It matches the Rfam family "Bacterial small subunit ribosomal RNA", at positions 524 to 776 of the family's 1533-position model. The record is from RNAcentral.
UACGGGGGGGGCAAGCGUUGUUCGGAAUUACUGGGCGUAAAGGGUGCGUAGGCGGCUUUCUAAGUUGGAUGUGAAAACUAUGGGCUCAACCCAUAGCCUGCAUCCAAAACUGGAAGGCUAGGGUUCUGGAGGGGAAAGCGGAAUUCCUGGUGUAGCGGUGAAAUGCGUAGAUAUCAGGAGGAACACCGGUGGCGAAGGCGGCUUUCUGGACCACAACUGACGCUGAGGCGCGAAAGCUAGGGGAGCAAACAGG